RNAcentral lists this ribosomal RNA (956 nucleotides) under Zelus renardii. Its description in RNAcentral is "SSU rRNA". It matches the Rfam family "Eukaryotic small subunit ribosomal RNA", at positions 425 to 1293 of the family's 1831-position model. Lineage: Eukaryota; Metazoa; Arthropoda; Insecta; Hemiptera; Reduviidae. RNAcentral also lists the same sequence under 1 other name. The record is from RNAcentral.
GCAGCAGGCACGCAAAUUACCCACUCCCGGCACGGGGAGGUAGUGACAAAAAAUAACGAUACGGGACUCUAUUGAGGCCCCGUAAUCGGAAUGAGUACACUUUAAAUCCUUUAACAAGGAUCCAUUGGAGGGCAAGUCUGGUGCCAGCAGCCGCGGUAAUUCCAGCUCCAAUAGCGUAUAUUAAAGUUGUUGCGGUUAAAAAGCUCGUAGUUGGUUCUGCGUGCCACGCUGUCGGUUCGCCGCCUGUCGGUGUAACUGGCAUGUCGUGGCAUGUCCUGUCGGUGGUGAACGGGGUUCCUGGUACGACGUAGGCUUUUAUAGCUGAAAUCUGUACCGUGUGUAGCUCCGUUUGCCGAUCUCUCCUACUCCGGUGCUCUUAAACGAGUGUCGAGGUAGGCCGACACGUUCACUUUGAACAAAUUAGAGUGCUUAAAGCAGGCUAAAAUAUCUGCCUGAAUAGUGGUGCAUGGAAUGAUAAAACAGGACCUCGGUUCUAUUUUGUUGGUUUUAGGAAUAUGAGGUAAUGAUCAAUGUGGACUGGCGGGGGCAUUCGUAUUGCGACGUUAGAGGUGAAAUUCUUGGAUCGUCGCAAGACGCACUAGAGCGAAAGCAUUUGCCAAGUAUGUCUUAAUUGAUCAAGAACGAAAGUUAGAGGUUCGAAGGCGAUCAGAUACCGCCCUAGUUCUAACCAUAAACGAUGCCAGCCAGCGAUCCGCCGAUGUUCCUUUAAUGACUCGGCGGGGAGCUUCUACUCGGGAAACCAAAGCUUUUGGGUUCCGGGGGAAGUAUGGUUGCAAAGCUGAAACUUAAAGGAAUUGACGGAAGGGCACCACCAGGAGUGGAGCCUGCGGCUUAAUUUGACUCAACACGGGAAACCUCACCAGGCCAGGACAUUGGAAGGAUUGACAGAUUGAUAGCUCUUUCUUGAUUCAGUGGGUAGUGGUGCAUGGCCGUUC